Molecule: ribosomal RNA, 253 nt
Filed under: uncultured bacterium
Lineage: Bacteria
Description: partial 16S ribosomal RNA
Rfam family: Bacterial small subunit ribosomal RNA
Source: RNAcentral
GACGGAGGAUGCAAGCGUUAUCCGGAAUGAUUGGGCGUAAAGCGUCUGUAGGUGGUUUAUUAAGUCUCCUGUUAAAUAUCAAGGCUUAACCUUGAACAGGCAGUAGAAACUAAUGAGCUUGAGUGCGAGAGAGGGGCGUGGAAUUCCGGGUGUAGUGGUGAAAUGCGUAGAGAUCCGGAGGAACCCCAGAGGCGAAGGCGGCGCCCUGGCUCGCAACUGACGCUCAUACACGACAGCAUGGGGAGCGAACGGG